This is a non-coding RNA of Equus caballus (horse), 304 nucleotides long. The record is from Rfam. NCBI's taxonomy places the organism in Eukaryota, Metazoa, Chordata, Mammalia, Perissodactyla, Equidae.
AAAGGUGAAAACAAUCUGGCUGCAAGAACUGUCACACAAUUAAUCACCAGCAUUGAUUCUGUUGCCUUGGAUCACCAGGCAGGUGAACUCUUCCUCAUUCACAGUUCUGUCUAUAUUUGUCCCAAAGCUGUACACACCAUUGAAGUGCAUGACCUUCUCAGGCACGUGGGAGCCAAUCCACACUGAAGUAUACAUGAACACUUACAUUCCUGUGCUAGGAUUUUCCCACAUCUCUGGAGGUCCAUUUGAAGGAAUUAGGCAUCCUAAAAUGUUUAAAUAUUCUUUUAUUACUGGACACCUCUAA